UGGGGGAUAUUGCACAAUGGGCGAAAGCCUGAUGCAGCGACGCCGCGUGGGGGAUGAAGGCCUUCGGGUUGUAAACUUCUUUUGCUCUGAACAAGGCAUGCUAAUGGGUGUGUUGAGUGUAGGGGUUGAUUAGCGCCGGCUAACUACGUGCCAGCAGCCGCGGUAAUACGUAGGGCGCGAGCGUUGUCCGGAAUUAUUGGGCGUAAAGGGCUUGUAGGUGGCUGGUUGCGUCUGUCGUGAAAGCUCAUGGCUUAACUGGGGGUUUGCGGUGGGUACUGGCUGGCUUGAGUGCAGUAGGGGAGGCUGGAAUUCCUGGUGUAGCGGUGGAAUGCGCAGAUAUCAGGAGGAAUACCGGUGGCGAAGGCGGGUCUCUGGGCUGUUACUGACACUGAGGAGCGAAAGCAUGGGGAGCGAACAGG
This 419-nucleotide ribosomal RNA is filed under the name bacterium. RNAcentral's name for it is "partial 16S ribosomal RNA". It matches the Rfam family "Bacterial small subunit ribosomal RNA", at positions 355 to 776 of the family's 1533-position model. The record is from RNAcentral.